This is a long non-coding RNA of Mastomys coucha (southern multimammate mouse), 510 nucleotides long. RefSeq lists it as uncharacterized. The record is from RefSeq and is a predicted model, not a curated record. The transcript has 2 exons. Lineage: Eukaryota; Metazoa; Chordata; Mammalia; Rodentia; Muridae.
GACAUAUAGGAGAGCUGCCUGUGAUUAUGGUACUCGGUAUAGUGUGUGGACAGCAAAAAUGGCAGCAUGAAGUGAAAAGGAGCAAAGCAAUCAGUCUUACUUACUAAAUUGUAGACAAGAAGUAAUUAAGAGAGCUGCUAAAGUAUAUAGACGUUUCAGUUUUUCAGAGUUGCAAAAAUCAUCAAAGAAGCAAAACUAAAGGUCGAAAGGAGAGAAUGUCACCAGCAUGCAGAAUAAUAUCAUGUAGUAAAGAUGCUACAUGAUCUUCACCAUGACUUCACCAUGAUUCAGUGAGUCCAGAUUGACUUCACCAUGACUUCACCAUGAUUCAGUGAGUCCAGAUUGACUUCACCAUGACUUCGCCAUGAUUCAGUGAGUCCAGAUUGACUUCACCAUGUUCAAUGAGUUGUGUAGAUGUCCAUUUGGAGCUCUGUCUACCCUUUUAUUUGACACUUUUGUCAAGAUCAUCUAAAUAUCUAUAUUAUUAAAAAGUUUCCACUGUAUUAUCCA